Molecule: long non-coding RNA, 928 nt
Filed under: Triticum aestivum (bread wheat)
Lineage: Eukaryota; Viridiplantae; Streptophyta; Magnoliopsida; Poales; Poaceae
Description: long non-coding RNA (TAES_LNC011538)
Source: RNAcentral
CGUGGGUCUUCUUUCCCCUAGGGAUGGACCUCCACCAGACAGAGUCGCCUCCUUUUCUUGGAUACGGGCCAUGAGUUGAUGUUGCGGCUGUGAAACACUUCGACGAGAACCAUUGUCCUCACAGGUACCAUCGUAUUCUUCCUCAUUCCCUUCGUGUAACCCAUUUUCUACCCAGUCUCUCCCAAUCCAUGUAAAGCUAGAAGUUAAUUUCUCAAUUGAGAUCUCAUCAUACAUUUGAUACAUUAUUCUCCAUGCAUGGCAGGUCCAUUAGAAAGGGCAAAUUAUGCACAAGUAUAAAACAGAUGCAAUUUUCCUUUUGUCAAAUAACAAUAUAUUUGGGGGUUUUAGAUCCUUUUUCCUAUUGAGAGUUUACCUUGCAUAACAGUAUUCUUGUGCUUCCAUGCAUGAAACUUAACUUACUAUGCUACAUCAUGUAUGUUUAAACUUGCGGUCUCCCCUGUGAACCUAGGUACUUGCGGGUUUGUUUGCAUUCAUAUAUUUCCAGUUUUUUGCUUUCAUAUAUCGCCGGGAUAUUUUGUGUAACCUAAGGUUGUCCAUUUUUCUUUGUUUUUUUGCCCUGGCCUACUUCAUUCCAUAUCAGGACCAGACAACGGUUUUAGUUUGUGAUAUAGCAUGGUAAUGCAUUCUGAUGGUCUGGGAGUCGGCUCACAAUUUCGAAGAGAUGAUCCCAGUUGACAUAUGUAGUGGUUUUUCCUCCUGCAUAGCCGUAGGGUGUUAGCCUCUUCAUCCUUCCCAGAGGUAAGUCAAGUAGAGAGCAAAACCAGCUACAUCACCACCACAAGUCCCAUUUGCUUAUUUGUUAAUGUUGUGCUUUGCAUUGAUCUAAAUUUGUCAGUUGGUGCUUAGUUUUAGUUGGCGAGAUAUGAUGGUAUUAUUGGAGCAAAAUUGUAUCUUGCGUUAAUAGAUG